GAUGAAGAACGCAGUGAAAUGCGAUAAGUAAUGUGAAUUGCAGAAUUCAGUGAAUCAUCGAAUCUUUGAACGCAUCUUGCGCUCCUUGGUAUUCUGAGGAGCAUGCCUGUUUGAGUGUCAUUAAAUUCUCAACCGCACUGACUUUGAAUUGGUGUGGCUUGGAUUUGGGGGGAAAAUUGUUGUGGGCUUUUUUGUAAAGUCUGCUCCCCUGAAAUUGAUUAGCGGUACCUUUGUGGAACUGUCUACAGGUGUGAUAAUUAUCUACAUCCUAGACAUCUGCUGGAAUGCUGCUUUCUAAACCUUACUUGUAUUGACAAUCUUGACCUCAAAUCAGGUAGGACUACCCGCUGAACUUAAGCAUAUCAAUAAGCGGAGGA
This 377-nucleotide unclassified non-coding RNA is filed under the name soil metagenome. Its description in RNAcentral is "partial contains 5.8S ribosomal RNA, internal transcribed spacer 2, and large subunit ribosomal RNA". The stretch from base 1 to 120 matches the Rfam family "5.8S ribosomal RNA", at positions 35 to 154 of the family's 154-position model. The record is from RNAcentral.